GAUGAAGAACGCAGCGAAAUGCGAUACGUAAUGUGAAUUGCAGAAUUCAGUGAAUCAUCGAAUCUUUGAACGCAUAUUGCGCUCUCUGGUAUUCCGGAGAGCAUGCUUGUUUGAGUAUCAGUAAACACCUCAACUUCCAUAUCUUUUUUGAAAUGGGAGUUGGACUUGAGUGAUCCCAACGCUUUUCCUCACCGAAAAGUGGCGGGUUACUUGAAAUGCAGGUGCAUCUGGACUUUUCUCUGAGCUAUAAGCAUAUCUAUUUAGUCUGCCUAAAAAACAGAUUAUUACCUAUGCUGCAGCUAACAUAAAGGAGAUUAGUUCUUGUGCUGACUGAUGCAGGAUUCACAAAGACAGGCUUCGGCCGACUUUGUAAACUCGAUCUCAAAUCAAGUAAGACUACCCGCUGAACUUAAGCAUAUCAAUAAGCGGAGGA
This 433-nucleotide unclassified non-coding RNA is filed under the name soil metagenome. RNAcentral's name for it is "partial contains 5.8S ribosomal RNA, internal transcribed spacer 2, and large subunit ribosomal RNA". The stretch from base 1 to 120 matches the Rfam family "5.8S ribosomal RNA", at positions 35 to 154 of the family's 154-position model. The record is from RNAcentral.